Sceloporus undulatus (fence lizard) is the source of this 608-nucleotide long non-coding RNA. RefSeq lists it as uncharacterized. The record is from RefSeq and is a predicted model, not a curated record. Lineage: Eukaryota; Metazoa; Chordata; Lepidosauria; Squamata; Phrynosomatidae. The transcript has 4 exons.
CACUGCCUGGAAAGGAAAAACAAACCCUGUCUGUUAAAACCAAUACACAGUAUCUUACAUACUGUUUCCUUGCUUCAGAAUAAAGAAUUUGCAGAAAGUCUUCUGAAAUACAAAUCCAGAGACUUUCCUAGUUUACACACACACUCUCUCUAAAGAACAGAAAUUACUAAGAAAAUUUGACUGACUUGUGCACACACUGGUACUGUUUCAAAGGAAGAGAUCGAAGAUCUGCCUAAGUCAAAUACCAGUUUUCGAGGAACAGCAGAGGAGGAGCUAAACAGCAUAUAAGCAAACAGUUAUAAAGAGACUAACAUACACUUUGCAAAUAUCCUAUUUUCCACAGGCAAUGCGAAAACCUGAGAUGAGAUCCAUGGCUGCACGCAGAACAGCUACAGGACCUAUGGGAGUGUAAAGAGGUCUCAGAUUUCAGAAGGAGAACAGCUGAGACAGGAGCCUAGCAUUCAAUUAUUAUUUUAUCUGUAUGGCUGAAGUAUUUGCUAAAGCAAAAGAGUAUGGUGUCUAAUUGAGUUCCAGUUUGAUCCAAUAGGAAGUACUGGGAUUGGAAUCAAGAUAGGAAUUCAACUGUUUAAUUUCCUUUAAAAAAAGAC